GCAGUCGCCGCGGUAAAACAGAGGGUGCGAGCGUUAAUCGGAUUUACUGGGCGUAAAGCGUGCGUAGGCGGCUUCUUAAGUCAGAGGUGAAAGCCCGGGGCUCAACCCCGGAAUUGCCUUUGAGACUGCAUCGCUUGAAUCCAGGAGAGGUGAGUGGAAUUCCGAGUGUAGAGGUGAAAUUCGUAGAUAUUCGGAAGAACACCAGUGGCGAAGGCGGCUCACUGGACUGGUAUUGACGCUGAGGUGCGAAAGCGUGGGGAGCAAACAGGAUUAGAUACCCGAGUAGUCCCUGUCUCUUAUAC
Molecule: ribosomal RNA, 302 nt
Filed under: uncultured bacterium
Lineage: Bacteria
Description: partial 16S ribosomal RNA
Rfam family: Bacterial small subunit ribosomal RNA
Source: RNAcentral